Long non-coding RNA from Capsella rubella, 513 nucleotides. RefSeq lists it as uncharacterized. NCBI's taxonomy places the organism in Eukaryota, Viridiplantae, Streptophyta, Magnoliopsida, Brassicales, Brassicaceae. The transcript has 3 exons. The record is from RefSeq and is a predicted model, not a curated record.
GAACGCUUUUGAUUUUAUAUUUUGUCUUUAUGUGUUUGUGCUUUGUUGAUGGAGAAGCCUACAUGCCAUCUCAAAAAAUUCAGAUCUAUGCUUGUUAGGUCCUCUUCCUCGACGAAGUCGGAGUUUAAUUUCCAUCAUUUGUUGAUGAUUUUUUUCUGCUUUUUUGGCCGCUGUUUCUUCUCUUAGGAGUGAGGUUAAUGCAAUGAAGUUUAGCUUACUGCAUUACUGCUGAAGAUGAUGAUCUAAUUCAGGGUUUUAUUGAUGGUAAGUAUGAUGAUCUUCUUGAACAAUUGUCUCACAUGGUUUUUGUCAUAGAUGAGAUGGUUGGAAAGUCAAAGAAGAUCUUGAAGGAGUUAGUAGCUUAAGGAACUGAUUCUUGUUUUUCAUGUUCAUAAUUGAUAUAUCGUUGUCUUAUAAGAUUGAGAAUGUGGUAAGAGAAAUCUACGGCAUAAGCUCUGCAAAAACUUUCUCCAAGCAUCACCAUCUGAAUCACAUAAUGUUAAAAUUCCCAAA